This is a small nuclear RNA of Panonychus citri (citrus red mite), 167 nucleotides long. RefSeq annotates it as U12 minor spliceosomal RNA. The record is from RefSeq and is a predicted model, not a curated record. The transcript has a single exon. Lineage: Eukaryota; Metazoa; Arthropoda; Arachnida; Trombidiformes; Tetranychidae.
AUGCCUCAAACUAAUGAGUAAGGAAAUUAUGAGACCUUAUUGACCUAAGGUCAUCAACUGCCCUUUGGGCAGUUAAGGCCCUUAAUUUUUGAAGGGGUUACGGUUGCAAUUCAAAUGCGUGACUUGCCUACUAUUUGCAAGUUGCCUUUGAUUGUUAACUUUACCCC